RNAcentral lists this non-coding RNA (224 nucleotides) under Lysinibacillus macroides. RNAcentral's name for it is "T-box sequence". It matches the Rfam family "T-box leader". Rfam says of the family: Uncharged tRNA acts as the effector for transcription antitermination of genes in the T-box leader family. Lineage: Bacteria; Bacillati; Bacillota; Bacilli; Caryophanales; Bacillaceae. The record is from RNAcentral.
AUAUAGGCAGAGACGAAGACAGUAAUUGUUAGGUGUAGUGAAGCGAUUUGGGGAUGGUGCAAGCCCAAACAAACAACUAACAAUGAAGAUCACUUCCGAGCUAAAUAACUGAAAGCAGUAAGUUAUUUCGUAGUGCACAACGUUAACGUGCUUGAAGAGGCAGUGCAAUUUGAAUUGUGCUGCAACUAGGGUGGUACCGCGAGUAGAAGCUUCUCGUCCCUUUU